CCUACGGGUGGCAGCAGUGAGGAAUAUUGGUCAAUGGUCGGGAGACUGAACCAGCCAAGCCGCGUGAGGGAUGAAGGUACAGAGUAUCGUAAACCUCUUUUGUCAGGGAACAAAGGCGGGGACGUGUCCCCGGAUGAGUGUACCUGAAGAAAAAGCAUCGGCUAACUCCGUGCCAGCAGCCGCGGUAAUACGGAGGAUGCGAGCGGUAUCCGGAAUUAUUGGGUUUAAAGGGUGCGCAGGCGGUUGGUUAUGUCAGCGGUAAAAGCCCGGGGCUCAACCCCGGCCCGCCGUUGAAACUGGCAGUCUCGAGUUGGAGAGAAGUAUGCGGAAUGCGCGGUGUAGCGGUGAAAUGCAUAGAUAUCGCGAAGAACUCCGAUUGCGAAGGCAGCAUGCCGGCUCCACACUGACGCUGAGGCACGAAAGCGUGGGUAUCGAACAGGAUUAGAUACCCGGGUAGUC
This 459-nucleotide ribosomal RNA is filed under the name uncultured bacterium. RNAcentral describes it as "partial 16S ribosomal RNA". It matches the Rfam family "Bacterial small subunit ribosomal RNA", at positions 338 to 795 of the family's 1533-position model. The record is from RNAcentral.